UGAUAUAUCACAUAUAUUCAUCUUCACUUAAAGUGGAUUGGUCAUUCCUAUCCAAUGGGGGGCUGGCUUUUCAUGGCUUGGUUAUGGGGGACGGGUUUGGACGCCUUGUUCGUGAUGGAGGGGGGCUAUUUGGUUGUGAAGUUUUCCGGCAAUGUGAAGGUUACGGGCUGGACGGGGAAGAUGAAGCAACGGGGUAGCCAUGAGAGGUCGUUUGGUGGUUUAGGGUUAGAGAGGGUGUGUUGUGAGGAAGAUGAAGAGAGG
Molecule: long non-coding RNA, 261 nt
Filed under: Nicotiana benthamiana
Lineage: Eukaryota; Viridiplantae; Streptophyta; Magnoliopsida; Solanales; Solanaceae
Description: long non-coding RNA (NBEN_LNC005889)
Source: RNAcentral